AACUGAUUUCUAUCAAAAACUACAGUGGGUUUGACAAUCAAUCCUUCUCUGAAAUACUAAUCAAUAAAUUAAAUCUCGGAUCAUUGUUCAAGGAGCAAGAUCAUUAAGUGUUCAUCACCAUCUUCAAACCAAUCUCGGGAUUUUCUUCAAAGCAAGGUAAAUCUGAGAGUCUAAACCUUCAAUAUCAUCUUUUUCUUUUCUCUAGUGAUCUAAAUCACCUUUCUUAAGUCUGUCUGUGUGGAAAUGGCGCACAUCAUGAAUAAGUGGGGGAAGCCAUACGUUUGGCG
Molecule: long non-coding RNA, 287 nt
Filed under: Jatropha curcas
Lineage: Eukaryota; Viridiplantae; Streptophyta; Magnoliopsida; Malpighiales; Euphorbiaceae
Description: long non-coding RNA (JCUR_LNC001214)
Source: RNAcentral